CAAGUGUGAUAAUUAGUGUGAAUUGCAGAAUAUCGCGAAUCAUCGAAACCUUGAAUGUAAAUGGUGGGAUUUGCCUCUGGCAUUUCCUUUACCCGUAUGAGUGUCUAUUUUUUCAAGUCCGAUACGUCGGGUAUAAUGACCGUUGAUAUACAAUCUUUCAUCGGUUUAAAUUUUGUUUUCCGUAAUUUUUAAUACGAUAAAAAAAAGACCUACUAUUUCAUGGAGUUGUUGCCCUUGAUUUUCAGCUAUUAACUUUUUGAAGUACGGAUUUUUUUUUUUUUUAUCUUGAAUUUUUUUACGGUAAAAAAAAUGAAAAAAUUUCUUCUAUUUUUGGACCUCAUGCGGGUAAGACUACCCGCUGAAUUUAA
This 368-nucleotide unclassified non-coding RNA is filed under the name uncultured fungus. Its description in RNAcentral is "sequence contains ITS1". The stretch from base 1 to 106 matches the Rfam family "5.8S ribosomal RNA", at positions 50 to 154 of the family's 154-position model. Lineage: Eukaryota; Fungi. The record is from RNAcentral.